This 17-nucleotide small RNA is filed under the name Arabidopsis thaliana (thale cress). Its description in RNAcentral is "ATSL230740". The record is from RNAcentral. Lineage: Eukaryota; Viridiplantae; Streptophyta; Magnoliopsida; Brassicales; Brassicaceae.
AUUCGUUGAUUCUUCUU